AUUGAACGCUGGCGGCAGGCCUAACACAUGCAAGUCGAACGAGUGGCGGACGGGUGAGUAAUGUCUGGGAAACUGCCCGAUGGAGGGGGAUAACUACUGGAAACGGUAGCUAAUACCGCAUACCAUCGGAUUUGCCCAGAUGGGAUUAGCUAGUAGGUGGGGUAAAGGCUCACCUAGGCGACGAUCCCUAGCUGGUCUGAGAGGAUGACCAGCCACACGGGAACUGAGCAACGGUCCAGACUCCUACGGGAGGAAGCAGUGGGGAAUAUUGCACAAUGGGCGCAAGCCUGAGGCGGCAAGGCCGCGUAUAUGAAGAAGGCCUUCGGGUUGUAAAGUACUUUCAGCGGGGAGGCGUUACCCGCAGAAGAAGCACCGGCUAACUCCGUGCCAGCCGCCGCGGUAAUUC
Molecule: ribosomal RNA, 406 nt
Filed under: uncultured bacterium
Lineage: Bacteria
Description: partial 16S ribosomal RNA
Rfam family: Bacterial small subunit ribosomal RNA
Source: RNAcentral